CACACACACACACUCGCUCAGGGUAUUCUUCUUCUGAUCAUUUUAGUUUUCUUUUCCUUUCAAUAAAUCUUUUUCUCAGCCGUCGAAUGGAGUUACAAAGUGUUUUCCCGUGGAUUCGGUAGCAGAUACAUGGAGUCCAAAAGCCUCUGCAAUCCACCAAACUAAUGUUGGUAGUGCGCACCCAUGGCAUUCCAAUCUUCAAAUUUUCUGAAACAUUCAAAAAUCAGAUGCAAUACCUUCUGAACGUGGCACCGCUUUCCCUUGCCAAAAUAGAUGGCAAGCGCAUGAUCCUGUGGUUCAGUAUGGGGCCCAUCAUCUUGUCAACUCCAUCCAGUAGAGGUCCAACUCAUUGUUCCCUUACAAUCUUGCGUAGAUUGUUCACGCAAAAGCUGAGUCCAACAGGUGGUCUUCCAUGCAAAUUUGAGGGUGUACUUGAAUCAUCACUUGAAAGUGGAUAUCAUAACAAAUGCGAGUUCUUGGUUGGAAAUUCUCUGCAGGGCAAUUCAACUAUGGGCUUUGUGGUUGGAAACUUCAGUUGUAUGCAGAGCUCAUUAGACUACCGGGUGGUCCGGGUGGUUCUAGCCUUCAAAAGUACUAAAUAAUUGAAGAUUUUCUCACUAGUUUGCGGUAAGUUUGAAGAACAUAUAUUAAGAAUUGACUUCUUUGGGUUGGUUUAGAAGGAUUUACUAUUUUCUUUGGUUUCGUACACCGCUGUCACAGCACUCAUGAAACCUUUAUGUGCUUAUUGGCCUUAAUGCUUUUGUUAGGUUUGGAAUUCAUAGACUGGAUGUUAGAUAGGGAUAUGGAAUUUUCAUUAUGUAGUUGGAUUUUUUUAACGAGCUUUUACGGGAUGGUAAAUGUACUACUUUUUGUUUUUUAACGUGGAGGUUUAAAAGUGCUUGGGAGGUUCUAUUUUUGACAUACUAUUGUAGGUGAGUUCGUAACCUUUACUUGAAAAUUACUUUUCUAGCCAAAUGAUGGAAAAGUUUUGUUCUGGAAAUUCUUUUCCAAGCGUCGACCAAGCACCAGAAAAGAAAAAGAAAAAGUUUGUUGUGUGCGAAACACUUUGCAUGGAAAAUAUUAUAUGUUGUAAAAUGUUUUACGCCGAGACAAGCGGACCCUAGAACUCAUGGGACUUGCAAAUCCAUGAAGAUGCGAAUUAAGGAGAGGGCGUACUACAAGAUAAUGUACAUUAGCUUACACGCUAUCUUAUUAGUUACCCCUAUACUGUUUACCACAUUUCCUCCUCACCUAUCUCAAAGCCCUAAUCUUUGACAUCUCCAUCUUCUAUGCAUCAGUGUGAUUUCCAAUAAAAUCAAGGGUAACUUUUAAUCUCUCCCUCUGUGUUUGUGUGUUGAAAUCAAUCAAGCUAAAAGACCUGUAGUCGUUUAUGUUCUCUCUCUAUGCUUGUGGAUGAGGUUUGUGUUGUGUUGUAUAUCUAAAGGUGUUAAAUGUGUAGAUCCUAAGGUGGGCAUUGUUAUGUUUUUUCAAUCUUUAUGGCUUCCCUAUAAAUAUACGUUAUGUGCAAAAGGUUUAUCUCGAGUCGCUCAAUUUCUUUCUUGAAAUUUGUUUGUUUUAGUCACUGUUUUGUGUUACUGUUUCUGUAACCUCUAUCUAGCUUGCAAAGAGAGGGAGAGUGAUGGCAUCUGGAUGGGGGAUAACAGGAAACAAAGGGAGGUGCUAUGAUUUCUGGAUGUACAUCAGCUAGUGCAUGUCUCGUUGCAGGGAACCCAAUGACUGCUCUCUUCUCAGAGAAGACUGUCUCGAGUGUCUCCACCACUCCAAAGAGGUCAUCUCCAUCCCCCAACUCGUCUUUUUCACUCCCUUAAGUCCAUCUUCUGUGAUUGUUUUGUUGGUAAGUGGUAACCAAUAUCUAACAUUAUUGUCAAACUUCCUCUGUCAUAUCUCAUACCCUACCAAUUUCCUGUAGACAAUCAGCAACCCAAUUCUUCAAUCAAGUAAACUACCACUCUACUUUUAAAGGGAUGGCAACGGGGCGGAUAUACGGAUAAUCGUACCCGAUACCCGAAAAUAUACACGUACCCGAAUCCGCCCCGAUAACCGAAUGGGUAGAGAUUAGUUGCCCCAUAAACGAACCAAAUGGGUUUCGGGUAUUCCCCGAACUGAAUGGAUACCCGAUUUAAACAUAAGGAACAGCUAUAGAUCUUUACGAAAACAUCUCUUCUUCCUACCUGCAAUUGGAGUACAGGAGAGAAAACAUACUAGAUUCAUACACAAGUGACAGCUACAGAUCUGAGCAUGAGGAACAUAGUAGUAAUAGUAGAAGAAAGAAGAAGAAGAAGAAGAAGACCCAUUUCUCCAAACACGAGCUCCAUAUAAAUUAAAAAAAAAAAACAAACAUUAAAUCCCAAAGAGGGGAUGAAGUUUAGACAGAGGGAGAGUUCCACUCGAGUUAUAUGAAAGCGAGAGAGAGCGAGAUCGAGGCCAGACAGAGAGGAGGCAGAUCAGACGGAUAGGAGGGAGGGAGAUCGACGGGGAAGAGGGAGGUUGGCCUCUGAAGCGGCGCUAUGCCUUUGUGAGAAGCAAAUAUGUGAAACUGUGAAAGCCCUAGGAUUUUCGGACUAUCUCUCCAUAUAUGAUAUUAUAUUAUAUGUAAUAGACAAUAUAUAUUGGAUAUUAUAUAUAUUUAAGAGUUUGGUUCGGGUAACAGUUAAACCAUGACCGAACCGAUACCCAUUCGGUUAUCCAAGGCCUCAACCAUACCCAUAUCCACGGGGAAAAUUUCGGUUAUGGUUUGGGGAAAAUUUUCGGUUACGGUUUGGGUACCCAUUGGUUCGGUUCAAAUUGUCGUUCCUAAGUCUUAUGUCUUUCUGGGAAAUGUUUGAUCUAAAAUUUUCAUGUUAUCCAUUGGGCGUUAAUGUUGUAUGCUGUGGGAUUUUGUAACCGAGACAUAAAUUUUGCACUUAGAAAUGACAUCUAACAUAUCCUCUUUUCUUAAUUUCAUUGCUUAUAUAACUAUCAUAGUUAUUUCACUACAAAAAAUAGCAAAUAUAUUUCAUCCCCAUUCCUAUGAACAACCAAACGUAGAAAAACGAAUCAUCAUUCGAACCUUAUUCCAUUCCAUUUUUUCGGGUUCCCAUUCAUUGCAUUCCAUUUCGUUCAAACAUUGAUACCAUUGAACCAAACAUAGACUAAAAGAUUUGGUAUUAGGGGGAAGAGAAUUGUAAUACAAAACCUUUUGGGGUUGUGAAAAGGAAAAAUGGGUAUGCCCUUAAAAGCUCCCGUAAAUGUGAUUUCAAAACUACCCUGCUAUUCAUGUGAAAGGAAAACAGUGACUCUUAGUGGGUGUAAGGUCUACUAAUCAGCAAAUGAUAAGAAUUCUGAAAGUUAGGAUUUCAGAUUAUGAAAUCGGAAAACCAAUGGUUCUUAGCAGGUUAACGAGAUUACUGGCCACAACAUGUUGCUCCUAGUGUAGAGCUACUUGUUCCUAAAUAAGUGAUUUCGUAGUAGAGGGCUAAUAGCUACCUGUUAGCACCUUGAUUUCCAAUGCGUGCUAAGCUUGGCUAGCAGUGGCACCUUGCACCGUAGCCAAUCAGUAGAAACGAAGGCGUGAGGCAGUCAUGUCUUUACAAGGUGACCCGAUGGUGUCGGCACUAGUCCCUUAGGCAAGUGGCUGUCGUGAUGCAUGUGAAGGAUUCCAAUAAGAAUCCAAGUAUGAAUGCCCGCUUUAACUUCUAGCUUUGAAAGACCAGGAACCUUGUUCGGAGCUGGCAUGACUGUACAAGUUCCUUUCCUAUUUUUACACAAAGAGCUUUUUCUAUUUAAUAUAAUUAGGAAAGAUUGGCUUCAUUCCCUUCUCUUCCUCAAAUCCCACACUCGCCUACUUAGUUAGGUCAAUCAGUUCCUUGACUGAUGCCAUACUUCACUAAUUCAGUCUUUUCUAUUUGGCCUUAAAGAGCAAUAGACUCUUCCUAGUGUAGCAGCUAAGACGAUUCGUUCAAAGCACCACUUUCUUACCCAUAAGCAUAAGCAAAAGUAGCAACACGUUUAUCCCGUCUGGGUACAUACCUAUGGCCAUGAGCGGGAGAAGUGGAGGCGGGGGCACCAGUAGAUCGGCGCCAUAGUCUCAACAGAUUGGAUUGCCUUCGUAAACUAGUCUGGCUUACAGGUCUGAUUCUGAUUCUGGCUCCUGCUAGCUUCCUUCUCUUCCUUUCCUUGCUAGCUCCCUUCUAGCUCUGGAGGGAUCCCCCUGUCCGGCAUUCCUUCCUAAGGUCCGGAAUAGAGUAAUAAGAGUAAUAGACGUAAGGCCUUCCCCUUACUCUUUUGAGACUGACCUUCACUCUUCAAGCUCCGCCCCCCUUACUAAACCCCUCUCUCUAUAAAAAAGAAGAAGCCCUUUCUCCUUUUCUUUUAAUAAAAAGGGUUGCUUUGAAGCCGUAGCUUGUUGGUUUUUCCAUCAUCCACAACAAAUUGAAUGAAACCUGGCAAAAAAGAAGUGAACACUUUGCUGAGGAACGAAGCUUCAUAUUUGUUUUUCUUCAAACCCCCAACCCGCUCUCGCUCACCGCUACUAACGGGCCCGAUGAUAUCGAGGCAUGGAUGCUAAACGGGAAGCAGGCUUGUGGGACAAUGCAAUCAGCAAAACGGCCAAGUACUUGGAGCUGGGGUUAGAUCACGAAAUUGGCAUGGUAGGCGUGAGUUGGAUCAGGCAAAACAGUUAACGACGGUUACAGAUUUCUGCAUAUGUUGUUGGUAGCAAUGGACAGGUGUCCCGGGCAGAAACGAGCAGUUGUUGGCAGUUGUCGGUGACUCAGUAAUUCUGCACGUUGUUGAAGCCGUGGACAAGUGUCCAAGGCAGAGAAGGCAGAGGCAGUUACGGGCAGUUCCAGGUGGAUUCAAAAUCCAGUGUGCUGGCUGAUUCUGGCUAAGCUAGCACAGCCCUAGGGUAGUAGGGGGUGUCAACUACAAGAUCAUGGGUUUGCCCCAUGAUCUCAUGUACUUGGUGGUCACGUUUUGGAUUGUAUAGCCUAUUUAGGCAAGGCAUUUUCGUAGCCUAAGGCAGAGGGAUGUUCUGUCUAGAUUCUUGAGUGUUUCCUUUGUAAGUUGGUGCUUAAUAAAGGUUGGGACAGUUCCUGUAGCUCUUGGGUGUGUUCUAGAUGUUCAAACAUAAACGGAGUGUGUGAGUAAACACUAAUUGGUUGAGACCAAGUUGCUGGCAAACUUGGUGCCAUCACCGGCAAAAUUUCUAGGCGAAAAACAGCUCCGUGACACUACCCAUGAUGGAAUUUGCCAAAAUUUUGUUGGACCACGUAUCUUUGAUGGGUCUCACAUAUAUGUCACGCUGAUUCAAAAGAAAAGCCCUUUUCAUCUAAUAAGUCAAGUAGUGAGAAAUAAUUACUGCCUUAAUUAGUUUUGGAAGUGGAUUCGAUGUUACGUCGGGUUGAUAUAGAUCAAAAUUUACGUAUUAGAUCCGAAGUGUACUUGUUUCCUCAAAUUAAUGUCGCCCUGCUUGAAAGAAUUGGAUCAUCUUUAUAGAUCAAGAAAUUUGCGUGUUGCUUCGGUUAAAAGUAUACAUACCAUGUUUGCUUUAUGAGAUAGAAAUAAAGAAGUGGUUCUUACUUCCUAAUAGUUUAUGACUACUGACCACACGAGAAAAACACAUGUAAGUUGGUAGGGGUUUAAACUACUAGUUAUGUGAAGGAAAAAUAAUGAUAAACAAAUGAAAGUUAAUAGGUGUUUUGACUAACAGAAAUUUGAAAGUGAGAUAGUGAUUCCUUGGAGAUGUAAGAAUUUUGAUCACUAAAUAAUAAGAACUCUGAAAGUGUACAUUUCAAAUUACGAAAACGGAAAAAUAGUGUUCCUAGUAGGUUAACGAGACUACUGGCCACAGAUUGUAGCUCCUAGUAGAUGAGUACUUGUCAAUGAAAAAGUGAUUAACAGUAGAGGGCUACUAGCUACCGAGGACAAAAUUUGUCAAAAUCUUGUUAGAUCGAUUACGUUUUAUGGGUCUAAAAUAUAUGUUGCUCCAAUUUAAAAGUGUUGGGCCUGAAGUGCCCUCGUGGAUUUGGUUACAAGAUGCCACUCCCUACGAUUACUCUAAAAGCAAACUUGCGGGUGCGAUGUCGAAUGUCAUAAAAAGACUUAAUUGAAGCUCUCCCUAACACCAAUUAGUUUUAGGAAAGAUUGUAGAAAAGCAGUCCGAUAAGUGGUAUCAGAGUGGGUUGCUCAUUUUUUUAGGAUUUCUUCCUAGAGCAUCUCCUUAGCAAUAAUGAAUCUGAACACCAACAUGAAUCAUCCGUCUAGUUACACACCUAUCUUGGAUAGUGAAAAUUUUGAUUAUUGAAAAUCUAGAAUUGAGGCUAUUACGAGGUCUGUGAAUGAGGAGGUUUGGAAUUCUUGCAUCAGGGGGUAUAGCCUUCCCAUGAAAACAGUAGAGGAAAAAAAGGUCCCCAAGCUUACUUCUGAACUAUCUACCACGGAAAAGGUGGCUUUGUAGGCUAAUAAUCGUGCCUUAGAUAUAUUAUUUAGUGGUGUUGAUGUUAAUGAGCAUUGUAAGAUUGCUAAUUGCGAGAUUGCAGAAGAAGCGUGGAAUAUUUUAGUAACUUGUCAUGUGGGAAUGGAUGUUGUUAAACAAUUUAAGUUAAAAAGACUAACUACUGAAUUUGAGAUAAUCAAAAUGCAAGAGGAUGAUACGUUUAACCGAUUUUACUCAAAAUUGAUUGCUAUUAUCAAUAGUUGUGAAACCCUCGGUGAGCCUACUCCUCCUUUUAUGGUAAUUAAGAAAAUAUUGAGAUCCUUGCCUGAACGGUUUAAGAUGAAGGUCACUAUGCUUAAGGGUAAACGUAAACUCAAUGAAAAUCUGUUGAAGAAGCGGUAGGCCUCCUCCAAACUUGUGAAGCAUGAAGCUGAUGUGUCACAACUUGAGUUUCAAAAAUCUAAAAUUGAACCUUCGGCUAAGCUGAUCGCUUUUUCAAGCUCCCAAAGCGAGUCUAGGGAUUUAGAUUGUGACGGUGAAUGUGAUCUUGAGGCAAUGGCUUUAUUUACCAAAAAAUUCAAAAAGUUCUUAAGAAGAAUGUGGCUGGUAGUGAUGGGAAUAAGAAAUUCGGAAACAAAGGAAAAAGUAGUUUUUGAGUUGUAAAGAAAAGAAAGGGAUAGAAGGUCCUCUUGCAGGUCCUAAAUGUUAUGAGUGUCAUGGUUAUGGUCAUGUUGCACAUGAAUGCAUUAAUAAGUUGAAGAAAAAGACUAACUUCAAGGCAAUAUAAUCUGGGAUGACGAUAGUGAGUCUGAUAACUCUGAGGAAGAACAAGUAGAUAAUGCUCACUCUGUCCCAAAAUGUUUGUCCGGUUCGCAAAACGGAGUGUUAAAAAUAAUACAGUUUUUGCAAGAAAAAUUCAAAAGUUUUUCAACAGCUUGCUAGAUAUCAAUGAGUAUUUUUAAUUUGUGAAAAAAGUUUGAUUUUUUUCUUGAAAAUUUUUCAUUAUUUUUAAGUUAUUGUUUUGCGGACCGAACAAACAAUUUAGGACGGAGGGAGUACAAAUUUUAUGGCGUUUGGAGCUUCUUUGUAGUCAAACUUUAGUGAUAACGAGGAAAGUGAAGAAGUCUUAAGUUUUGAUGAGUUAAAAGAUUCCUAUGAUAUUUUGUAUACGGAGAGUAUGAAGAUUAAUGAGACUAACUUAAAGUUGGCUGAAAAUUAUAAUAAGUCUAAUGUGGAAUUAGCGACAGUUAAGAAACAAGUGGUAGAAUUGAAAGGGUUGUUGAGCAAUGUCACUAGUGAGAAAGAGCAGCCGAGUAAGGAAGUUGAGAGUUUGCAAGAAAAGAAUUGGGUCUUGAUUGAGUUAAACACUGCCUCGGACGGUAAAUAAAUUUGUUAAAUGUUGAGAUUGAUAAUGCUAAUAUUCUAUUUGAGCAUUUGAAUACACGGUCAAGGACAUUGGAUAAUAUUCUGAGCAGACAAAGACCGGCAAGUGACAAAACAAGGCUUGGAUUAUAUGAAACUUUGUCCUCAAAAACAGUCGGAGGUAAACCAACUGAAUGAGUUGGAAUCAAAGAAGGUAAUGCCGAAACUCCGUAGUAUAGAUACGGCUAAAAAUGUGAUUGGAAAGGCUCAUAAUAUUAGAAAUGGCAGUUUUGCUAAAUUCACUCCAUUUGUCACUUUUGUCAGAUUAAAGGUCACAUUAAACCAAAAUGUUUUCAAUUGCAUGGCUACCCUAAGGUUUUUGACACUAUAAAGAUACAACCAAGGAUGGCAGUAUAGGAAAUAUUAUGCCCAGUCUUUUUAAGUACAAAAAGGUCAAGAGCUUAAAGUCAAAAUCUUUGAAAAUCAAAAGAAUUUUGGUAAAAUUCGAACUAGACAGAUUUGGGUUAGAAAAAGAGAUUUGUGCUUUAUUUUUGUUCACACUACUUUUAAAGCUCGUAAUUCCCAUAUGUGGUAUCUUGACAAUGGUUGUUCUUGUCAUAUGUCUGGAGACAAGUCUGUGUUCGUUAGUUUUGAAAAUUAUAACGGAGGUAUAAUGACUUUUGGUGAUGGGAACACUUCAAAAGUUGUAGGUAGAGGGACCAUACGAGCUCCUAGGAUAACUUGCCUUGAAAAUGUUCUAUAAGUGGACGGAUUAAAAGCUAAUUUACUUAGUAUAAGCCAAAUGUGUGAUUCUCAUCAUGAAGUUCGAUUUUCUAAAAUUGACUGUUAUAUUUUGGAUUAAGAAGGAAAUAGUGUCAUGCAUGGUACUCGUACUAAUGAUAAUAGUUAUGGCAUACUCCCUACUAGUGAGAUAACGUGUCACUCUAUUAAGUUAAGCGACACUAAACUUUGGCACCAACGUCUUGGUCACAUUAAUUAUAAGGAUUUAUCUAUAUUGACUAAAUGUGAAUUGAUUAGAGGUGUGCCGAUAUUCAGCAAAUCGAAAAAUCAUGUUUGUGGUCCUUGCCAACUCGUAAGCAAAUCAAGGCAACUCACAAAAAGUCCAUUGGGAUAGCUCUACUAAGAGGCCUCUUGAACUUCUUCACAUAGAUUUGAUGGGCCCUUUUAGAGUGGAAAGCAUUGUAGGACACAGGUGACGUGGAAGAGUCAAAUUCAAGCGACGAUAAUCUAGAUGCAGAUAUUCCAAAAGAAGAGCAAAAAGAUGAUGAGCAGGAUUGUGAAAUUCAUGACGAGAUACUACCAUUGAACCCAUCAGCUUGAGUAAAGCUCAAUCAUCCCACAACUCAGGUAAUCGAAAAUGUUGUGGACCCAAUGAAAAUUCGCAGGCAGCUUAGGGAUGAGAUAUCGUAUGUUUGUUAUGUUUCUUUAGUUGAGCAAAAAAAUAUUAAGGAAGCCUUAAUUGAUGGUUUCUUUAGUUGAGCCAAAAAAUAUUAAGGAAGCCUUAAUUGAUGAAUGUUGGUUUGAUGCAAUGCAAGAAGAGUUACAUC
Long non-coding RNA from Rhododendron vialii, 9366 nucleotides. RefSeq lists it as uncharacterized. The transcript has 6 exons. NCBI's taxonomy places the organism in Eukaryota, Viridiplantae, Streptophyta, Magnoliopsida, Ericales, Ericaceae. The record is from RefSeq and is a predicted model, not a curated record.